UUCACAGUGCUGGCAAGGAAC
This 21-nucleotide non-coding RNA is filed under the name Rattus norvegicus (Norway rat). The record is from RNAcentral. Lineage: Eukaryota; Metazoa; Chordata; Mammalia; Rodentia; Muridae.